GACGAACGCUGGCGGCGUGCCUAAUACAUGCAAGUAGAACGCUGAAGGAGGAGCUUGCUUCUCUGGAUGAGUUGCGAACGGGUGAGUAACGCGUAGGUAACCUGCCUGGUAGCGGGGGAUAACUAUUGGAAACGAUAGCUAAUACCGCAUAAUAGCAGUUGUUGCAUGACAACUGUUUGAAAGGUGCAAUUGCACCACUACCAGAUGGACCUGCGUUGUAUUAGCUAGUUGGUGGGGUAACGGCUCACCAAGGCGACGAUACAUAGCCGACCUGAGAGGGUGAUCGGCCCCACUGGGACUGGGACACGGCCCAGACUCCUACGGGAGGCAGCAGUAGGGAAUCCUCGGCAAUGGACGGAAGUCUGACCGAGCAACGCCGCGUGAGUGAAGAAGGUUUUCGGAUCGUAAAGCUCUGUUGUAAGAGAAGAACGAGUGUGAGAGUGGAAAGUUCACACUGUGACGGUAUCUUACCAGAAAGGGACGGCUAACUACGUG
RNAcentral lists this ribosomal RNA (495 nucleotides) under uncultured bacterium. Its description in RNAcentral is "partial 16S ribosomal RNA". It matches the Rfam family "Bacterial small subunit ribosomal RNA", at positions 28 to 507 of the family's 1533-position model. The record is from RNAcentral.